This 85-nucleotide transfer RNA is filed under the name Felis catus (domestic cat). It matches the Rfam family "tRNA". From Rfam's summary of the family: Transfer RNA (tRNA) molecules are approximately 80 nucleotides in length. Their secondary structure includes four short double-helical elements and three loops (D, anti-codon, and T loops). Further hydrogen bonds mediate the characteristic L-shaped molecular structure. tRNAs have two regions of fundamental functional importance: the anti-codon, which is responsible for specific mRNA codon recognition, and the 3' end, to which the tRNAs corresponding amino acid is attached (by aminoacyl-tRNA synthetases). tRNAs cope with the degeneracy of the genetic code in two manners: having more than one tRNA (with a specific anti-codon) for a particular amino acid; and 'wobble' base-pairing, i.e. permitting non-standard base-pairing at the 3rd anti-codon position. The record is from Rfam by way of RNAcentral. Lineage: Eukaryota; Metazoa; Chordata; Mammalia; Carnivora; Felidae.
GCCUGGGUGGCUUAGUCGGUUGAGCAUCCGACUUCGGCUCAGGUCAUGAUCUCGCAGUUUGUGGGUUCGAGCCCCGCGUCAGGCU